GACGAACGCUGGCGGCGUGCUUAACACAUGCAAGUCGAACGAAGAGCGAUGGAAGCUUGCUUCUAUCAAUCUUAGUGGCGAACGGGUGAGUAACGCGUAAUCAACCUGCCCUUCAGAGGGGGACAACAGUUGGAAACGACUGCUAAUACCGCAUACGAUCUAACCUCGGCAUCGAGGAUAGAUUAAAGGUGGCCUCUACAUGUAAGCUAUCACUGCAGGAGGGGAGUGGGGCUGAUUAGGUAGGUGGAGGGGUAACGGCCCACCCAGGCGAUGAUCAGUAGCCGGUCUGAUAGGAGGAACGGCCACAUUGGGACGGAGACACGGCCCAGACCCCUACGGGAGGCAGCAGGGGGGAAGCUUCCGCAAGGGACGAAAGUCUGACGGAGCAACGCCGCGUGAGUGAUGACGGCCUUCGGGUUGUAAAGCUCUGUUAAUCGGGACGAAAGGCCUUCUUGCGAAUAGUUAGAAGGAUUGACGGUACCGGAAUAGAAAGCCACGGCUAACUACGUG
Molecule: ribosomal RNA, 510 nt
Filed under: uncultured bacterium
Lineage: Bacteria
Description: partial 16S ribosomal RNA
Rfam family: Bacterial small subunit ribosomal RNA
Source: RNAcentral